Molecule: long non-coding RNA, 288 nt
Filed under: Homo sapiens (human)
Lineage: Eukaryota; Metazoa; Chordata; Mammalia; Primates; Hominidae
Description: HSALNT0200402
Source: RNAcentral
GUCAAGAGAAAGUCACCUUUGGCGCUACCACCAUUGCCAGCAAGAGGUCCUUCUUUCUCAGUAUCACCUCUUGAAGACAGAGCUCAGACAGUGUGGUGUAAAGGGGAGAGGAUGGACUUCGGAGUCAGGGUUGGGUUCAAAUACUGGCCAUACCGCUUACCAGCCAUGUGACCCUGGACCUGUGCAAGCAUCCUGCCUCAUUCCAUUUGGCUGAAGCUCCUGCUCCACUUCUUGCUGGGCUGUGACCAUUCAGGAUCCCCCACUGUCCACCAGAGUCAGCACCUAAAA